GCAGUGAUAGUUCAGUGGUAGAAUUCUCGCCUUUCAUGCAAGUGUCCUGGGUUUGAUUCCCAGCCAGUGUA
Molecule: transfer RNA, 71 nt
Filed under: Loxodonta africana (African savanna elephant)
Lineage: Eukaryota; Metazoa; Chordata; Mammalia; Proboscidea; Elephantidae
Rfam family: tRNA
About the family: Transfer RNA (tRNA) molecules are approximately 80 nucleotides in length.
Source: Rfam by way of RNAcentral